ACAGGAAGAAUAGCAAUGGGGGUACUGGACGUGGAAGCUAGUCCAGCCAUCCCGCGUGUACGAUGAAGGCCUUCCGGGUUGUGGCUUACUUUUGGCAGGAAAGAAACGGCACAGGAUAAUACAUGCAACUGACAGUACCUGCAGAAUAAGCACCAGCUAACUGUGCCAGCGACCGCGGUAAUACGUAGGUGCAAGCGUUAAUCGGAAUUACUGGGCGUAAAAAUGCGCAGGCGGUUCGGAAAAGAAAGAUGUGAAAUCCCAGAGCUUAACUUUGGAACUGCGCACCAACUACCGAGCUAAGUGUGUCAGAGGGAGGUGGAAUUGCCGAUAUGGCAGUGAAAUGCGUAGAUAUGCGGAGGAACACCGAUGGCGAAGGAGGCGGCCUCCUGGGAUAACACUGACGCUCAUGCACGAAAGCGUGGGGAGCAAACAGGAUUAGAUACCCGUGUAGU
RNAcentral lists this unclassified non-coding RNA (452 nucleotides) under uncultured Bordetella sp. RNAcentral describes it as "partial 16S-23S ribosomal RNA intergenic spacer". It matches the Rfam family "Bacterial small subunit ribosomal RNA", at positions 341 to 794 of the family's 1533-position model. Lineage: Bacteria; Pseudomonadati; Pseudomonadota; Betaproteobacteria; Burkholderiales; Alcaligenaceae. The record is from RNAcentral.